Molecule: long non-coding RNA, 2571 nt
Organism: Trifolium pratense (red clover)
Lineage: Eukaryota; Viridiplantae; Streptophyta; Magnoliopsida; Fabales; Fabaceae
Exons: 2
Source: RefSeq, a predicted model, not a curated record
UAACCCAAAAUCUUAUUGUAGUUAAUAAUAAUUAUCAUUGGCCUAAAGUUAAAUUAAGUUACUAAUUUAAUUAAAACCCAGUUGUUGUAACAUUCUAGCUAAAUAGAUAUUAGUGGCAAGUGCUCUUUUUACUUUUUACUACCAAUUAAAAAAUUUAGUUACAAAUUAUUUAUACUAUAGUAAUUAUUUAACAAAAGAGAGGGUAAUUUAGGUAAUUGGGAUGAACAUGUUAUAAUGGAUAAACAUAACCCAAAUCAGGAUAUUAUUUCUUUUUCAUUCAAUUUCUCUCUAUUUUCUCAGGAACUCUCCCGAACCCACACUCUCUCCAUAUCAUGAUUUCAAAAUCUUUCCAAUUCCUCUCUAACACUAAGUACAUGUAAUAUAUUCAUGGAGAAUAAGCUUCUUCCAAUGAGUUAGAGAGUCCAUUGAAAGGAAUUAAAGGCUAAAGCUUCAAGAUUUGGGUUAGUGAAAGGAAAGAGGGUUUGAAACCCACAAGAUUUAAAGAGGUCCAUCGCCAUCUUCAUCUUCAUCUUCAAAUAACUAAGGAACUCUCCCGAACCCACACUCUCUCCAUAUCAUGAUUUCAAAAUCUUUCCAAUUCCUCUCUAACACUAAGUACAUGUAAUAUAUUCAUGGAGAAUAAGCUUCUUCCAAUGAGUUAGAGAGUCCAUUGAAAGGAAUUAAAGGCUAAAGCUUCAAGAUUUGGGUUAGUGAAAGGAAAGAGGGUUUGAAACCCACAAGAUUUAAAGAGGUCCAUCGCCAUCUUCAUCUUCAUCUUCAAAUAACUAAGGUGAAUUCUUUUAUUAGGCUUUAAUUUUGGUAGAAACUAGAAUUUUAAAGUAAACCUAAGUAUGAGAAGUGGCAUGUGUUGGAAUGUUAAGAAAUUCUACCCCAACUAUUGAUAAAUUAUGAUUGGAGACUUCAAUGUAGAAAUUAGAGUAUGUUAGAUUCAUAUUCUGUUAUGAUUUAAUUACAAUCUAGCUGAGAUUCUAGAAUAUUCAAUAUUGGAAUGGUUUUGGGACUGUUUUGGAACUAUUGGCACUCUUUUAAAACUAAUAGACUUUAUUGUAAGAAUUAAAGUAUGUUAGAAUCAUGUUUUAUCAUGAUAGAAUAUGAACUAGUUAGAAUCUCAUGUUAAUAUUUCAUUGGGGACUGUUAUAACACAUUAAAGAGUAGUUAGAUUGUAGUAAAAUAGUUUGAAUGGACUGUUUAAACACUUUGGUAACUUUGCUACGAGUAUAACAGCUCUUUUAGACGUUAAUUGUCACUAACAGAGGUGAUCAUCCCUAUGGUUUUGUCUCAACUUGUAUUCUUAUGAGCUUAGGUGAUGUAGACAUGAAAUUAUGCUAGUUUAUACUCUUUUGUUUAGUAUUAUGUGUACUCAUAUUUUGAAUUAAUAGGAAUUGCCAAGUAACUAACCAUAGUUUGGUUUAGUGGUAUUAAUGAUGCUUAGAGGCUUUAUUUUAGCCGAGCAUAGUUUCCUUUUAAUUUAUAGUUAAAGGAAAGAUAAGAAUGAACCGGUGUGGCUAGAAAAGAAUGACAUAUUGUGAAUAUAAAUACGUUGAGAUCAAUAAUCUAUCGAUCUAGAUAGUAUUUCAAUGAAGCAUAUGCAUGUGAAAUGAAAUGACUCGGAACACGGUUGAAGUGAUAUACUUUAUGUGAAGAAGAUUGCUAUUGUUUGGAUUUAUAGGACACAUUAGGAAAUUGAUUUCGAUAUGGUGCCACUUAUACAUUAUUUACAAGUGUGUUAGGAUUUUUCAUGUUAAAUAUGAUAAGUUAAAUAAGAAUAGAUUCACAUUGAGUAAAGUACCGGUAAAUUAUAUUUUAAUGUUUUAUUAGAAAUAUAAAGGUACCGUUCGCCACCACGAAGAGAUAAGGUGGUAUAGCCGUUCGCCACUACGAAGAGAUAAGGUGGUAUCCGUUCGCCACAACGAAGAGAUAAUGUGGUUAGUACCGUUCACCACAACGAAGAGAUAAUGUGGUAUAUCCGUUCGCCACCACGAAGAGAUAAGGUGGUAUAGCCGUUCGCCACAACGAAGAGAUAAUGUGGUAUAUCCGUUCGCCACCACGAAGAGAUAAGGUGGUAUAGCCGUUCGCCACAACGAAGAGAUAAUGUGGUAUAUCCGUUCACCACUACGAAGAGAUAAGGUGGUAUCCGUUCGCCACAACGAAGAGAUAAUGUGGUUAGUACCGUUCACCACAACGAAGAGACAAUGUGGUUUAUGUCAACAUAGUGGGAAAAGAUAAGUGAUAUUAGAUAUGACAAGCUUAUUAUUAGUUUUAAGUGUAGGUGUGCGUGUAGAACUUCGUAUAUGAUUAACAAGUGGUUCCUGUUAAAGAUUUUAUCAAAUAUUGUUUCCCUUGAUGUUGUAAAAUAGUAUUUUUGGUAUAAGUUUUCAAAGUACGACCGUUUUAGUGUGCAUAAUGAAAUGAAAUAGCUUUAUAUAUUUUUGCUGAUAGUUAACCAACACUUAGAGAACUACGUGGCUCUGAUUCCCUAAUUGUUUAGGGAUACGUAGGACCAGGGACCCUCCCUGUCGAGCUAUAAUUUCAGUAACUGUAUAUUUUAAA